RNAcentral lists this non-coding RNA (169 nucleotides) under Thermoactinomyces sp. Its description in RNAcentral is "SAM-I sequence". It matches the Rfam family "SAM riboswitch aptamer (S box leader)". From Rfam's summary of the family: The SAM riboswitch is found upstream of a number of genes which code for proteins involved in methionine or cysteine biosynthesis in Gram-positive bacteria. The record is from RNAcentral. Lineage: Bacteria; Bacillati; Bacillota; Bacilli; Caryophanales; Thermoactinomycetaceae.
UUCUUAUCCAGAGUGGCGGAGGGACUGGCCCGAUGAUGCCCGGCAACCCAUUAAAUGCUUGCGAUUUGAUCCAACUUGUCGACAAAUUUGAUUUAUCGACAACUCGAUCAGAGAAGGAAGCUUUGAUAAGGUGCUAAUUCCUGCAGAGAAAUUCUCUGAGAGAUGAGAC